UUGUCUUUUAAAUAAAGACUAGUAUGAACGGCUAAAUGAGGACAGAUCUGUCUCUUACAAUUGACCAGUGAAACUGAUCUUCAAGUCCAAAAGCUUGAAUGAACACAUAAGACGAGAAGACCCUGUGGAGCUUCAAACCCACACUAUAAUUAACCAAAUAGCACCGGUUUUAAGUUGGGGCGACUUCGGAAUACAACCUAACUUCCGAGCACAGGGCCAUCACACCCUCACCAAGACCGACAGGUCAAAGAAAAAUCCGACCCAGUCACACUGACCAACGAACCAAGUUACCCCAGGGAUAACAGCGCUAUCUUCUUCAAGAGUCCCUAUCGACAAGAAGGUUUACGACCUCGAUGUUGGAUCAGGACACCCAAAAUGGUGCAGCAACUAUUAAAGGUUCGUUUGUUCAACGAUU
This 415-nucleotide ribosomal RNA is filed under the name Cryptoblepharus gloriosus mayottensis. Its description in RNAcentral is "partial 16S ribosomal RNA". It matches the Rfam family "Bacterial large subunit ribosomal RNA", at positions 1969 to 2589 of the family's 2925-position model. The record is from RNAcentral. Lineage: Eukaryota; Metazoa; Chordata; Lepidosauria; Squamata; Scincidae.